Molecule: ribosomal RNA, 253 nt
Filed under: uncultured bacterium
Lineage: Bacteria
Description: partial 16S ribosomal RNA
Rfam family: Bacterial small subunit ribosomal RNA
Source: RNAcentral
UACGGAGGGGGCUAGCGUUGUUCGGAAUUACUGGGCGUAAAGGGUGCGUAGGUGGCGCCGUAAGUCGGGUGUGAAAUUUCGGAGCUUAACUCCGAAACUGCAUUCGAUACUGCGGUGCUUGAGGACUGGAGAGGAGACUGGAAUUCAUGGUGUAGCAGUGAAAUGCGUAGAGAUCAUGAGGAAGACCAGUGGCGAAGGCGGGUCUCUGGACAGUUCCUGACACUGAGGCACGAAGGCCAGGGGAGCAAACGGG